UCACUGUCACCCCAUGACCUCACAACCAGGGUCCAGCCUGUGUCGCCGUUCCUGCUGGUGGCUCUUGAGUCCUCAAAGCCCUUCUCUGGGAUCACAAUACUCUAAGAAUUUGCCAGCAGCACAGAAGACACCAGGAUGCUGAGGCCUUUGAGAGAGGAGCCAAUGCUGACGAUAUUCAUGGAGCGCCGCUCUGAGCCAUAAAACUGUUGACAAAUAUACAGACUUCAUCCAGAGCACCGAAACCCCAAAUAUUUUCAUUUGGCAAUUCAAGAGCUGCCAGUGACAAAGGGACCUGGUGAACAUUAAGUCUUUAAAUUAUUUAUCUUGAACACCACAUCUCACAAGGAAAAAAAAGAAGGAGAGAGAAAAAAGAAACAUAAGCAAUAUUAGAAAGCAUCUGACUGGAAAAACUGAUUAUUUUGUUAUUCAGCGCCUGCAUUGCUUGACAUUUUUCACGUUGGUUAUCUGCAGUGCUGCAUGCUGUCGGGAGAAGCUAUUUUUCCUGUGCUGAAAAGUCGUUUAUAUAGAGCAAGAUACUGAUCGUAUGGAAAUGAGGAGCAGCGGCAUUCAUCAGGCUGGGGCAGGUACACAGAGACACUUUGAUCCCAUGCAGAGUGCCCGGUUCCAGCCUGGGCAGGACCCAGUGGGCAGCACAGGGGCCUUGCUGGUUGCUGGCUGGAAUGCAAAUGAGGGGGACUUUGGAGCUGGUGUUUCCAAGGGAAUUUGUGUAUAAGUCGUCCUUGAAAGUCCUCUCCGGCACUCAGAAUAGAUUCUGUGACAUGUUUGUAAAGCCUGACAGUGAGUAGGGCUGUUAGACCUUGUAUUGAAAGCUGAGAGAAGGCAGAAGGGCCGCUCAGCAGCUGAAGUGUUGUACUGCUUGGGAGAGCGCCUCUCACUCCUUCAAAAUGAGAUGUAGCUGUUUAGGGUUGCUAUAAGAUAUCCCCGACUUCGUCUUAAAUGAGGCCAUAGCAUCCUAUAGGGUGCUCAUUUUUAAUGCUUCAAAAUCAGCCUGAACUUAACUCUGAAAACCAUUUGUUAUUAUUAUCCAUUUUACAUUUGUCCUGGGUACCCGGACAGCUGAAGUUAUGCAAUCCAACCUGUUUAUUCUCAGCCUAGCUGGAUGCGGGUAUUUGAGCAACACCAGGCCGGGAUGCCUCACCUAUAUUUAACAGGAGAAUUUGUUGUCUUCUCUGAUUACUCCCGAUUUUAACAGACUUUCAUCUUUUCUUAGGUAUUUUCUGAACACAACAGCACUGUCCAGGCAAUGCAUUCUGGCAGGCAAUGCCCUAUGUGAUGCUGCAAACAUCUAAUAAACUCCUCGCAUCUGAUGCAUACUCGUUUUAGAGACCCUGA
This is a long non-coding RNA of Coturnix japonica (Japanese quail), 1353 nucleotides long. RefSeq lists it as uncharacterized. NCBI's taxonomy places the organism in Eukaryota, Metazoa, Chordata, Aves, Galliformes, Phasianidae. The record is from RefSeq and is a predicted model, not a curated record.